Molecule: long non-coding RNA, 5363 nt
Filed under: Sus scrofa (pig)
Lineage: Eukaryota; Metazoa; Chordata; Mammalia; Artiodactyla; Suidae
Description: lncRNA (ENSSSCG00050031550.1)
Source: RNAcentral
UUUUUGUUUUUUUUUUUUUUUUUUUAAUGUAAGCAGACAGAAUGGUUGAGAGACAUUUGACUCACAUUUACCACUGUCUUGAAGUCCCUUUAAGGACCAUUUUCUCUUAUUUAAUAUGCCUUUAAUGUGCUAUUAGACUAACCAUUUACUUAUAAUAGUGCUUCAUUUACCUAAAGCACCAUUUCUACAGCUUUAUUUUGCAACUAGAGAAUCAGUUAUCAAUUUGUUUCUGAAGGGAGUUUAAGAAAGUGGAUACAGGGUGUUGCAUCAAACACAGUCAAAAAGAAAACUCACGUAUUUAACAUCAAGAGACAGCUUGUGGAAGAACUUAGAAAAACUUUAAAUGCUUCAAAUUUCAGAUAACUAUAAUUUUAAGUAAGUUACUGAAUUUUUUUUCCUAUUCUUUAUCUUUAUGUGAGAGGUAAUCAUCUCACAUAAAGAUGCUUAAAAAGAAUUUUGGAAGUUGAACAAGGGAAUUUGAAUUCUAUGAGGAUCUCUCAGCCACACAUAAGCUAACUGGCUGCCAUAGAUACUCUGAUUUCGACUGACAAAAAAAGAAUCAGGUAAAUUUGUUUUGUUCUUAAAGGAAGUUUAGACCCUAAGCCUCAAGGUAGAUGACCCUGUGCACAAUUAAAGUCACAUACAUACCCCAUCUGGAUAUAUGAAUAUAAUCAGAUAGGGCUCUGGAUCUCUGCUAGUGUCACAAGUCUAUAGCCAUUCCUUUAUUUUGCUAUAUCUUGAAACUGAUUCAUUUCUUCUAUGUAUAGAGAAUUUUGACAUUCUCUCUUCUUAACCUCCAAGUUAUAUACAGCCAACUCCCACCUCAUUCUACAAUGCUCAGUGCUACAAAGGACAACCAUAUUUUCCAGCACAGAACAAACUGCUCAAGCACAUCAAAUCUGGGGCAUAUGUCAGGCAUACAUGGGUAUUAAAAGACCAAGCAUUCUGUCAUCAACUAUUCAAGCUGCAAAGCCCUAGAAUUUAUCUUCUCCCCUCAAUAGCUAUAUAUGUCAUUUUAGCUCUGCGUCUCAUAUUACAAAUAUUACAAAAUAGGACUUAUUUCCUCAAAUAUUUUUUUUUCAAUUGUAACUAUAUCAUGGACUUUAACAAAAGUCACUAGUCUCAAGGGUUAACAGACUUUGGUGAGUUUAUACAAUCAUUCAAAUGAAAAGGUCAAAUCAAACCUUAAAUCAUCUUGAAUGCCUCUUUCUAUCAUUUCACAUCCAAUCGAUUAGCAAUUUUCUUUGACUCAACCUUUGAAAUAGGCCCAGAGUCUGUCUACCUUCACACCUGCAUCGCUGUUACUCAGUCCAAAGCCUCUGGCGUCUACCUGGACUCUUACAAUGGCCUCCAACUGGUCUUCCUUCUUGGCUGACAAACAAUAGUCCAGGCAAUUUUUAAAAAGCAUAGUUCAGAUCAUGUCACCUCUCUGCUUAAAAAACCUUGCAAGGCUUCUCUUCCUACUGAGAACAAAAAUCCCAUCUUAACUGUGAGGCUGGUUCUGAGCUCUGUAUACAUCACCUUUCUUCCUCCCAUUCUCCACUGCCCACUCUAGCUUCCUUGGCCAUCUGGCUGCUCCUUGACUAGCCCAGACACAAUCCCACCUCUGAGCUCUUUUCACCUGUUUGCUCUACUGCAAAGUCUCUUCUCCUAGAUAUAAGCCUGCACAGUGCCUGCUUCUCAUUCAGGUCUAAAAGUCACCUCCUCUCCAAGGCGUCUUUGACCAUCUAAUCCAAAUUAGGAUGUCCACGGCCAUUCUUGAAUUUAGAUUGCUUUGCUUUGCUGCUUCGAAAAAGUUUAGCAUGUACAAUACGUGGCAUACCUAGUAUCCAUUUUUAGGGACAGAAACAGAAUGGAAAUGAUAGCCAGGACCUCAUCUAUUCCUUCAAUACAACAUUUACUGUCCCUUUGUGCCAGACACAGUUCUCGAUACUGAUGAUACAACCAAUGACAAAAUAAGUAAAAAUAUCUGACCUAAGGGAGUUUAUAUUCCUAAUCGGGAGAGACGUAAAGUAAAAUAUAAUCUGAUGGCAGUGACUGCUUUGCAGACAAAAAAAUCAGGGAAAGGGAAAGUGGAUGUGGCAAGGCAGAGAAGAGGGAUUCUGGUUGCCAGUAGAGGAGGCAGGAAAAGCAUCACUAAGAAGGUGACAUUUGAGUAGGGGCCUUGAUCACUUGUGAUUCCCAGUCUAAUGGUAAGUAUUCACUAGGUAUUUCCUGAGUGAAUGAAUGGAUAAAUGAAAUUAAGGCAGAAUUCCCAAGCAUGCAUCUCAAGCAAAAAAAUCAAGUGUCUAUAUUGCUACUUCUGACAGUGUCCCCAAAAUGUUACUCUGUGAAAAAAAACUUAUUCAUUGGCAAAGGCAACCCAGGGUCAAUUCUGCAUAAUUCCUAAGUGGCUUUUAGUAAGUAUGUUAUCCAUAAACAGCUUAUGAACCUCAUAGAUUUAAUCCUUUUAGUUUUACAAAACAAUGUGAUAGAAAAAGUAUUUUCAAUAUUCCUGGAUAUAGUAAAUAGCAACAGCAUUCUGCUUCCUGCCUGUGAGAGUGGGCAUAUGACAUAUACUUGAACAAUAAAAUAUGCACCAGCCCCUCUAAAUUUUUAUGUGCCCAUAAGGGGGCAGGAUCUAUUACCCAAGCAAAGAUAAUCAGGUUACUACCAUUGUUUAUGAUAUGUGUGUGUGUGUGUGUGUGUGUCAUUCAGGGUCACGAACAAAGAAAAGGAAAGGAGGAUAGGAUAAGGCAAGCAGGAAAAGAGAAAAAUUAGUCAUGAUUUUGUUUGAGUUCCUAGAUCCAGCUGUACCUGAAACUAUACCCUCAUUGCCACCUGCUUUUAUUGGCUAUAGAGGUUGAAAUUAGUCUCUGAGAUUUGUGACUAAAGCUGAUUUAUGAACACAUUUACAAAGUAAAGGACUAAUUUUUUAUAUGUUUCUCAGCUUUGUUUGGCACAUGCAAAUAUUAAACUAUAAUUCUAUUUGGCUUUAAAUGCAAAAGCAAUGAAUCUUUGAUUUUACCGCAGUAUACUUGGAUAUAUAAUUUUUUCCACAGCUGAAAAUAUAAUAAUUCUGUGAAACUUUGACUAAUAAUGAUUUUAUUACACAAUUCCACAUCAGGCAAAUAUUUGCAUAUGCCCAAGGACUCACAAUGUUGGUGUAUAGUAAUCCAAAGAUGGAUUACAGUAUUUGGCAUACUUCCUUACUAUGAGGUAUGGGUAAUUUGUCUGGAUUCCAUUUAUGCCACUUUUUACUUAACUUCCAUGCAAUCUUCUAUUGCAAUCUAUCCCACAGAAAAUAAAAAAGUUCUCAAAUAUUUGUAAGCAAGGUACCCAUGAUAUAUAAUGCAGAAUUUGUAUUUAUUAUCAAGAAUAUUCAACACAAUAACUCCAUUUAUUUCUGCCACCUAGUGAUGCAAACAUGCUUUUCUAUAAUAACCAUAUUUUCUUGGGUAAGCUUAUUUUUGCAUGCAUGCUUUAUGAAAGUCUGCCAUGGACCUGAUGACAUCCUACAUGAAUAAGCCAUGAGAAGAUACUCGUGUGGGGUCUUGAGUCAACACUGCCAGACUAGAAAUACCAGGAUUCCUCUCAUUACUACACAUCUGUCACUCACACCCAUGUCUGGGUGGCCAGAAAAUAGUAAGUACUAGAAAGAGAGAUUUGUUUUUCAAUAAAUGAGAGACUAGGAAUGUUUCUUUCUUGCUCUCAUCCAUCGACUUUUAUUCACAUAUCUUGCGUUGUGGAAAAGAAUGCUGUGGCUAGACUUCUGAUUUGACAAAAAGGAGGAGGCCUUGGAAUCCCUCAGACUGAGUCCCAAGUCUUUACAGCAAAGAUCUGAAAUCCCAGAGCUUACAAAUGUAUUUUUAAUGACCUUCCAGUAAGAGAAAAGAGAGAGAAAAUGCUGGCAUGUAGACAUAAAUCCAGGAAGCUGGUUUCUCUACUAGGUGCAUGCAGGGACAAUUCAGUUGAGCACAUCCCAGCUAGUAAUUACCUCACUUUCACUAGAUGAUGCUUCAUGAAACAAACUGGAUGGUUGAAAUAAAGUUUUUAAAAAAUCAGCACAUGGUGAUGGAACCACAUGUGUUAUUCCAAGGAACUAUAACUGGAAACUGAUUCUUUUUUUUUUUUUGGCCGUAGUCUCAUUUCAACAAUUUAAGUCACACAUAAAAAAAGCACUCAUUCAUGAAAAGAGAGAAGAAAAUUCUCAAUAACUAAUGAAUUUUUUCAGAAUGGUGAUUCAUCUGUUUGACUUCUGAAACAUAGGUCCUCAUAAGAAUCAAUCAAUAAUUCAACCAUGUAUUAACUUAUUGAGACAUAACCGCUCACUAUUUAUAAUCACUUCCAUCAUCAACAAAAAUGAAGUAGGGAAGAGAGAGAGGAGGGCAAGAAAGGAUGAAGUGAGAAAGGGAGGAAAGAGUGAGGCUGGAAAGGGAAAAGGAUAGAAAAGAACAGAAAAGGAAAGAAAGGAAACCUCAAGGAAAAAAAGAUCAACCUAAAAUUCAUAACUUGAUGUAUUGAUUUCUAAAGUUCACACAAAAAUAUGACAAAUGAGACUAUUUCAAAAUUACUAGAAAGCGUUCAGUCACACACUCACCAAAAGCCGAGCAACAAACAAAACUAUUAAGCAUCUAUCUAUAAAGUGACUUUGACAAACUUAAUAAAAAAAAAAAGUCAACCCCCAAAAUAAAUGUAAUGAGACUAGAAGAAUUAUUUCUGAAAUGAUUGCCACAGCUGCAUGGUGGUUUUAAGUAAAGCUUUCAGAGUUGCAUUCCUGAGGCUUGAUAAUUGAAACAAUUUGAUUUUCUACACAUAUAAAUAUACAUUACCGUUAAUUAGCAACGUAAAUCAAAAUUGAUACAAAUACUACGGACUGCAACUUUGUUUGCAAACCAUCUCUGGAUUCAGGCAAUUCCCAGAAAGUCUUCUCCAUCAGCACUGCCAGUUGAAAUUUGUUCUAUAAAAUUGCUUUCUCCCUAAUUCCCUGACGGGGACCGGGGGUCAAGCCAUAUACUGAGAGUUUAUUCAGGGGAAGAAGCAGGAAGCAGUUCCACCGCCAUAAAUAAGCCUGUUAUCCUUUGCCAUCUUCUAGGCAGGGAGCUGCUGCUCCUAACUGCAGCAUAGACAUCCCGAUGGCUCAUGUCUGGCCUUGGGAAGCCAAGGUACAGGGAGAGGCAUUAAUCUCCUCUGUUUUAGGGUUGGACAGCUAAUACCUUCUUCAAGAGUAAGAACGGCCACUUGCAUAAAACAUACAGGAUACCUAGAAGGAGGGCGCAGAGAAGUGGAAAAUGAAAAGAAGGUAUAGAAUAUGCUGCCUCUCUCCAUGAACAACAGCCAUCACAAUGAAAGCACAUUGUUUAGGAAUACAGGUCAAACUCUGU